AGAAAGUGGGUAUCGCAGAGGGUUUUGGCCCGUUUUGGCCGUUUUCCCGAGCCCGGAUGCUCGGCCCGCUUUGAGGAAAGUUGAUCCUCGCGUCGAGCCCGUCGUUUUGAGACCUGGAUGAGGAGCCUAAGAAGCAUGAAUCUAAUGAGGAGAUCCCUGUUGAGGAACCCAAAGAGGAGUACGUGGAGGAGGACCCCGAGUAUGACAUCGAGUAUGACCCGGAUGAGGACCGAGAUCCUAUCCUGUCUUGUCAGACCUUGUUUGAAUGUAAUAAGAUGUAGUUGUGAACUUUUAGUAUGAAAAAUGUAUGGCCUACUUUUCUA
Molecule: long non-coding RNA, 323 nt
Organism: Eucalyptus grandis
Lineage: Eukaryota; Viridiplantae; Streptophyta; Magnoliopsida; Myrtales; Myrtaceae
Exons: 2
Source: RefSeq, a predicted model, not a curated record